GACGUAGACCCGAAACCGGGCGACCUACCCAUGAGCAGGAUGAAGCGAAAGUAAAAUUUCGUGGAGGUCCGAACCCACGAGCGUUGAAAAGCUCGGGGAUGACUUGUGGGUAGCGGUGAAAUUCCAAUCGAGCCCGGAGAGAGCGGGUUCGCCCCGAAAUGGCUUGAGGGCUAGCCCCAAGGGGGGAGAUACGGGGGUAGAGCACUGAAGGUCCUAGGGGGUAUUGCACCUACCGAAGACUAUCAAACUCCGAAUGCCGGCAUCUUAUACUUGGGAGUCAGACUGUGGGGGAUAAGAUUCAUAGUCGAAAGGGCAACAGCCCAGAUCGUCAGCUAAGGUCCCUAAAUGUAAGUUAAGUGGUAAAGGAUGUGGGAUUGCACAGACAACAAGGAUGUUGGCUUAGAAGCAGCCAAUCAUUCAAAGAGUGCGUAAUAGCUCACUGGUCGAGUGAUCCUGCGCCGAAGAUUUCCGGGGCUAAAACUUACUACCGAAGCUACGGCAUCAGUAAUGAUGGGUAGGGGAGCUUCCCAUACGGGUUGAAGCAUGACCGUAA
Molecule: ribosomal RNA, 553 nt
Filed under: Clostridioides difficile
Lineage: Bacteria; Bacillati; Bacillota; Clostridia; Peptostreptococcales; Peptostreptococcaceae
Description: bacterial LSU rRNA
Rfam family: Bacterial large subunit ribosomal RNA
Source: RNAcentral